UUACUGGGCGUAAAGCGCACGUAGGCGGCUUGGCAAGUCAGGGGUGAAAUCCCGGAGCUCAACUCCGGAACUGCCCUUGAAACUGCCUCGCUAGAAUCUUGGAGAGGUCAGUGGAAUUCCGAGUGUAGAGGUGAAAUUCGUAGAUAUUCGGAAGAACACCAGUGGCGAAGGCGACUGACUGGACAAGUAUUGACGCUGAGGUGCGAAAGCGUGGGGAGCAAACAGGGAUUAGAUACCCUGGUAGUCCACGCCGUAAACGAUGAUAACUAGCUGUCCGGGUUCAUGGAAUUCGGGUGGCGCAGCUAACGCAUUAAGUUAUCCGCCUGGGGAGUACGGUCGCAAGAUUAAAACUCAAAGGAAUUGACGGGGGCCUGCACAAGCGGUGGAGCAUGUGGUUUAAUUCGAAGCAACGCGCAGAACCUUACCAACGUUUGACAUCCCUAUCGCGGUUACCAGAGAUGGUUUCCUUCAGUUCGGCUGGAUAGGUGACAGGUGCUGCAUGGCUGUCGUCAGCUCGUGUCGUGGAGAUGUUGGG
Molecule: ribosomal RNA, 535 nt
Filed under: uncultured Alphaproteobacteria bacterium
Lineage: Bacteria; Pseudomonadati; Pseudomonadota; Alphaproteobacteria
Description: bacterial SSU rRNA
Rfam family: Bacterial small subunit ribosomal RNA
Source: RNAcentral